Eupeodes corollae is the source of this 2508-nucleotide RNA transcript. It is a transcript of the gene named rab11 family-interacting protein 1, with no coding region annotated. The record is from RefSeq and is a predicted model, not a curated record. The transcript is spliced from 7 exons. Lineage: Eukaryota; Metazoa; Arthropoda; Insecta; Diptera; Syrphidae.
UGUUUAGUUGGCAGUGGAAGUUGGUGUUGUUCGUCGUUCGUGUAAAAUCGCAAAUUAUUUAUAAAUAAAUUCAUAGUUUUCCAAAUAAAAUUAAUUCAAAAUUCGUGCAGCAAUACACAUAAAUCAAUAGUCUUAAUAAUCACUCAAAAGUCUUGAUAUAAAUCCCCAUCAGUUAUGUGGAGUCCAACUCAUAUUCAAGUAACUGUUCAAAAAGCUAAGGGUUUGUUGACCAAGGGCAAAAAUGGUACAAACAAUUGCUUCGUCACAAUUGCACUGGGCAAAGAGAAAUACCAAACAUCGGUCAAGGAGAAGGCCACCGAGAACGUUGACUGGCACGAAGAAUGUGAAUUAAAAAUUCCGGAUCAAGGUAACAGAGCGGAGCUGAUUUUGACGUGUUUGCAUCGAAAUAACCUUAGUAUAGAUGAGUUUUUGGGUCAAGUCACACUCCCCCUCAACGAAAUGGAUGUAUACGAUCGUCCCAGGUCGAAAUGGUUCAAACUCGAGAGUAAACCUGGCAAAGAGAAAAAGAAAGAGCGCGGAGAACUUGAAGCCAGAAUAACAUUUAUAGUUAAGUCAGGCUCAUUAACCGAUUUGAGCAAGAAAGAAAAGCAUAAGUCUUCCAUAGGACAGCUGGCGAAUUCCGUGGGUGGAAGUUUGCUUAGUAUUGGAACAAUUGAAAAGCGUAAAGGUAUUAAGAAAUUCGCCAAGUCAUUGGGCUCAAAAAUGCACUUAAAUGGUAAGAAGAAGAACAAAGAUAAUAUUGAGGGUGAUGUUGAUUCGACGAGUGGAAGCUUCGCCAGUAUUGGAACACCAAACAGUAAUCCCGGGCUAAGAAGGUAUGGACAACGAGUCGGCGAAGCUGAUCCCGGAGUUAUAAGUGAAGAUGAAGAUGAGUUUGUGUUUGAUACCCUAUCCCAUAAGAGCUCUGGUAGUUCAUUAAAUAUCCGUGGCACACAAUCGUAUCAGCGGAAUGUCCCAUCGCCAUUAAUUUCAAAGGAAAAAGAAAUUGAUACAACUUUCUACUCUUCUUCCAACUCACCACCAACCAAACCUCCACGCAAUCAAAACGAGCAGCAGCUCGACGAAUGGGAGGCAAAACUCUAUGGCAAGCAUCUAGAUAUAGGUAGUACAGAUUCGUUGAAACGUCGCUCCUGGGAAAACUCCAGAGUUCCACUGCCAGCAAACAAUGAAGAACCACUACGACAAACCGAAUCGGUUGAAAAAAUCACAGAACAAUUAAACACAUCACAACCUAGCCGAAAACCAUCACCGAUUCCUGUCGUUUAUGAAAAACCAUCUCUUGAAUUCGAAAUGGAUGAGAGCACUCAUCCAUCAACUGCUCCAAACACACCUGUUUUCAAGUCAAAGUCCAAAGAGAGCCUUAGGGAUAAUAGUCCAUACAGAGGAUCAGAUGAGAUACCAACUGCAAUGCCCCGCAGCUCAACCAUGGAAUGUUUGACCGAUAAUAAUAAAAAUUCUUCUUCUGUUCAUAAUAGUAAAGAAAUGGAUGUAAGUAAGGAAAAGACUGAGAAGAAACAGCGUUUCAGUAAAUUCAAAUAUUUUAAUAAAAGAGAUAAACACGAUUCACAAGAUGAACUUUCGUCUAGUCCCAAAGUCAACGAGAGAAUAAUUAUUGGGCAUGAAAAGUCACAAACACCUCGUUCAGAGGUUUCAGCUGCUCUGGCUAAGAAAUAUGAGGGGAAGUCCAGAGAAGAACUUAUGCUUUUGGCCAACGGAAUGGAACAUGAAGCCCUCAUACAGCGCCAACGAGUUAAAGAACUUGAGGAUUAUUUAGAUAAUUUAUUGCUGAGGGUGAUGGAAACCCAUCCAAAAAUUUUACAAAAUCCUUACUCACGCACUACAUCAACCAAAAGUUUUAAGAACUUCAUCAUGAACGGUUAUUAAGAACUAAUUCUCAUGGUCUAUGACGAGGAAUAUGGAGGACUAAUCAUAAAAACACUCGUCAAUGGAUAAUCAAAGACCAACAACACAAAAUUACAUCAUACACCAGAAGUUGCCUUCUCAAAGUGCUUUUUUUACAAACCUAAAACAAAAUAAAAAAAUAUUAAACAUAUAGAAAAUAAAUUAAAAACAUAACUGUUGCAAAAUAAUAUUUUUUAAAAGAUUUAAUUUUAAUUUAUAAGUCAACAUUAAAGUAAUCCCAAAUUUUAUUAUUUAUUUUUAAAACUGCAUUUUAAUUUAAAAAAAAAUAUCUUAUAGAAUAAGUCAAUAGUAUUUUAAUUUUUAAACCAUCACCAUUUAUUUGUUUUUUAAAUAAUAUACGUAUUUAUAUAUUUUAUUUUCACUGUAUUGGAAAAAUGUGAAUUUUGAAUUUUGGUCCUGGGCAAGAAUAACAAAAUAUAUUUAAAUAAAAAACCAAGUACCUAGAUUAUUAAAGCUUUUAAUUACAUUUUUAAUAUACAUUUACUUAGUACUAAGAUAUUUUUUGUCUUAAUUUAUGUUUAUUAAUUAUUAAAAUAAAUUCAAUAAAAAAAUGUUUAAAUAUAA